GUGGUCAUUCAUCAGCGUGUCGUCCGCGACACCGGCGGGGCCUGGCCCAUGCUGACACGCACCAACUACGCAGAUUGGGCCCUCCUGAUGCAAGUCAUGCUGGAGGCGCGCCAGCUCUGGGUCGCCGUCAACGACGGGACUCUGGAGCGCGAGACAGAUCGCACGGCAAUGGAGUGCCUGCUACGAUCGGUGCCGCCGGAGAUGACGUCCACGCUCGCCGUCAAGCCCACGGCGAAGGACGCCUGGGGCACGAUUAAGACGAUGCGGCUCGGCGUGGCGCGUGUUCGUGAGGCCAAGGCGAUGUCUCUACGCCGCCAGUACGAGGCGAUCAAGUUCAACGACGGCGAGAGCAUCGACGACUUCAGUAUGCGCCUGUCCUCUCUGGUCACUCAACUUGAGUUGCUAGGUGACAAGAUCGGUGAGCCCGCCGUCAUCCGCAAGUUCCUCUCGGUCGUCCCC
RNAcentral lists this ribosomal RNA (459 nucleotides) under Triticum aestivum (bread wheat). RNAcentral's name for it is "partial small subunit ribosomal RNA". Lineage: Eukaryota; Viridiplantae; Streptophyta; Magnoliopsida; Poales; Poaceae. The record is from RNAcentral.